This 191-nucleotide small nuclear RNA is filed under the name Cervus hanglu yarkandensis (Yarkand deer). Its description in RNAcentral is "U2 spliceosomal RNA (ENSCHYG00000015021.1)". It matches the Rfam family "U2 spliceosomal RNA". Rfam says of the family: U2 is a small nuclear RNA (snRNA) component of the spliceosome (involved in pre-mRNA splicing). Complementary binding between U2 snRNA (in an area lying towards the 5' end but 3' to hairpin I) and the branchpoint sequence (BPS) of the intron results the bulging out of an unpaired adenosine, on the BPS, which initiates a nucleophilic attack at the intronic 5' splice site, thus starting the first of two transesterification reactions that mediate splicing. The record is from Rfam by way of RNAcentral. Lineage: Eukaryota; Metazoa; Chordata; Mammalia; Artiodactyla; Cervidae.
AUCGCUUCUCGGCCUUUUGGCUAAGAUCAAGUGUAGUAUCUGUUCUUAUCAGUUUAAUAUCUGAUACGUCCUCUAUCCGAGGACAAUAUAUUAAGUGGAUUUUUGGAGCAGGGAGUUGGAAUAGGAGCUUGCUCCGUCCACUCCACACAUCGACCUGGUAUUGCAGUACCUCCAGGAACGGUGCACCCCCU